This 471-nucleotide ribosomal RNA is filed under the name uncultured bacterium. RNAcentral's name for it is "bacterial SSU rRNA". It matches the Rfam family "Bacterial small subunit ribosomal RNA", at positions 9 to 524 of the family's 1533-position model. The record is from RNAcentral.
GAGUUUGAUCGUGGCUCAGAACGAACGCUGGCGGCAGGCUUAACACAUGCAAGUCGAGCGCUCGCAGCAAUGCGGGAGCGGCAGACGGGGUGAGUAACGCGUGGGAACAUACCCUCCGGUUCGGAAUAACGCAGGGAAACUUGUGCUAAUACCGGAUACGGUCGAGAGGCGAAAGAUUUAUCGCCGGAGGAUUGGCCCGCGUUCGAUUAGCUAGUUGGUGGGGUAAUGGCCCACCAAGGCGACGAUCGAUAGCUGGUCUGAGAGGAUGAUCAGCCACAUUGGGACUGAGACACGGCCCAAACUCCUACGGGAGGCAGCAGUGGGGAAUAUUGGACAAUGGGCGCAAGCCUGAUCCAGCCAUGCCGCGUGAGUGAUGACGGCCUUAGGGUUGUAAAGCUCUUUCGCUAGGGACGAUAAUGACGGUACCUAGACAAGAAGCCCGGCUAACUUCGUGCCAGCCGCCGCAGUAAC